Molecule: long non-coding RNA, 1798 nt
Organism: Dama dama (fallow deer)
Lineage: Eukaryota; Metazoa; Chordata; Mammalia; Artiodactyla; Cervidae
Exons: 4
Source: RefSeq, a predicted model, not a curated record
UCCUGGGUAGGGACUAGAGGGGCGGCGCUGUAGCUCAUUAGGGGCGCGCGUCCGGCACUUCACCGCGCCUUCCGGUCCAUGAGCGCGUUCGAACCGAUACCGCUCUGUGGAACUCAAGUUCGACCUCGGUAUUGGAGAUGAAGAGACAGGUUUAGAACUUAAGCUUCGACCUGCGCCCGCUGGGCAGUUUUCUGACGGCCACUUCUCUCGGCGUCUUCGGGGAGGCCGUGCUCAGCUUCCUCAGGGUACCUGUCCUCCUCUGCUUUCCCUCGCCUCCAUCUCUCCGUUUACUUAGAUUAAGUUGGCUGUGGGUGACAUUUAGUGUAAUUCCUAGUCCGGAUGAAGAUGCGGGCGAAAAGAGGCCCCUCAACUCACUCAAAAACGCGCAGCAAGUAAUCGGCAGUUGGAAUUCCUGCUGAGGACUUAAGGCGUGGCAGCCUGUGGAACCCUCACCCCAUCCCUCAGAUUAGACGGUCAUCCCGCCGCUGCGUCCUGUCCAGUUUCCAUGAUAAUGUCAGCGCUGCCUGGAACAGUGUACGCUUACCAUACACCCACCCGUUCAACAAACACUUGUUUGCACCUGCUCUGAGCCGGACACUCCAGCUCACUGGGAUGCAGACUUAAAUACAAAGUCUCCAGCCUUAACAAGCUCAGUCCUUAGCUGGGAAGCUUGCGACGGUGAGGUGCCAGAGCAGGUACACCGGUGUGGUGUGCAAGCCCAGAGCAGGCCACCUGGAACAGCUGGAGAGCUGAGGAAGGCCCAUGAGGUGGCAUGGUAAUGCCCGCACGGAACCGUGAUGGUGCGGAAACUGAGGCCCUAAAGGAGGAUGGAGUUUGUCCAAAAUCAUAAAUUGAGCAAAUGCCUUUCCAGGCCUAGACCCCAGGUCCAGGGUGCAAAGAAACUGGACCUGGCCGCAGAGUCAGGCAGUUCCUUCUGUUUCAGCAGAAGAUGAUGCAGCAGGCCAGUCUCCAAGUGCGUGAAGGUUGAUUUCUGGGGACAGAAGGGACAGAUCAUUUUGCUGGCACCUUGGAGGUGGUGCAAAGACACACAGCCAAAUAAGAUUGAUCCACAUGGGAAAUAUUUUUAUUGAAGUCAGACUUAAAGAAAACGAUGUAUACCUGGAUCUUGCUUAAAUGAUGAAGAUGGCUCAUAUCAUUGGGGUUGAAGAAACCUGACAUGAAACAGGGAUCAGAUGGCAGGGAACAGAGGGCCUGAACAAGUCAGCUCUCGCGGCCCUGCUCCCUCUGCCGUGAAACAGCCCUCACAGCACCUCCGAGGGUUAUUAAGAGAAGUCUCUGGGAUCUCUGCGUCGGGCUUGAGCACUGGGAGCGGCACAGAAAGUGGUAUCAUAGCUCUGCACCGCAAAGGCGUGGGCCCUUUGCCCCUUUGCCAUCUGCCUCCUGUGUGUGUGCUGCCUUCCAGUCAUCUUACUCUGCUUUCCCCUGAGGACUCUCCUGGGAACUGCUGUGGAGCCUGAGGCUGGGGUCAGGUCAGCCAGCCGCCUCUGCUGGGACCUGUCUUCAUGCCAGCAGACUUGCCCCACUGCAGCAGUGGAACCUGGCAGUAAAUGCUGGGGAAGCAGCUGAAGCCUGUAGGUCCCCAGGGCUCCGGCUGCACCCCCCAUCCCACUGGUGUCUUGUGGCAGCAGGGUCAGAGGUCAGGGGAAUGUGGUCAGACCAGAGGACAGGCUGUCAGGCUGUUUCCGGUGUAAAGUCUUAGCUGUCAGACUGUGAUCCUCUGACCAGGUGGGAGGGAAUUAUGAGCCAUUCACUAAUUUAAUAAAUGUGAAAAUAGACU